GAAUCGCUAGUAAUCGCAGAUCAGCAUGCUGCGGUGAAUACGUUCCCGGGGCUUGUACACACCGCCCGUCAAACCAUGGGAGGUUUGGAGCACCCGAAGUCAGUGGCCUAACCGAAAGGGAGGAGCUGCCGAAGGUGAGCCAGAUAACUGGGGUUAAGUCGUAACAAGGUAUC
RNAcentral lists this ribosomal RNA (173 nucleotides) under uncultured bacterium. Its description in RNAcentral is "partial 16S ribosomal RNA". It matches the Rfam family "Bacterial small subunit ribosomal RNA", at positions 1329 to 1500 of the family's 1533-position model. The record is from RNAcentral.